CUACGGGGGGCAGCAGUGAGGAAUAUUGCACAAUGGGGGAACCCUGAUGCAGCAACGCCGCGUGGAGGAUGACGCAUUUCGGUGUGUAAACUCCUUUUAUAUGUCAAGAAAAUGACGGUAGCAUAUGAAUAAGCACCGGCUAACUCCGUGCCAGCAGCCGCGGUAAUACGGAGGGUGCAAGCGUGUACUCGGAAUCACUGGGCGUAAAGGACGCGUAGGCGGGUUGGAAAGUCAGGUGUGAAAUCCUACAGCUUAACUGUAGAACUGCACUUGAAACUUCUAAUCUAGAGUAUGGGAGGGGGAGAUGGAAUUAGUGGUGUAGGGGUAAAAUCCGUAGAUAUCACUAGGAAUACCUAAAGCGAAGGCGAUCUCCUGGAACAUUACUGACGCUAAGGCGUGAAAGCGUGGGGAGCAAACAGGAUUAGAUACCCGGGUAGUC
This 439-nucleotide ribosomal RNA is filed under the name uncultured bacterium. Its description in RNAcentral is "partial 16S ribosomal RNA". It matches the Rfam family "Bacterial small subunit ribosomal RNA", at positions 339 to 795 of the family's 1533-position model. The record is from RNAcentral.